This 5410-nucleotide long non-coding RNA is filed under the name Cucumis sativus (cucumber). Its description in RNAcentral is "long non-coding RNA (CSAT_LNC001223)". Lineage: Eukaryota; Viridiplantae; Streptophyta; Magnoliopsida; Cucurbitales; Cucurbitaceae. The record is from RNAcentral.
ACUAACCUCUGCCCUAGUAGAAGCCAAAUAAAAACAACAGCUUGAAUGACGGCCCCACCAGAUACUAAGAAAGUGAUUGAUGGAAGACCAGAUGUAAGACGGCCAGCAAUCAAUGAGCAAUAGAAAGACCAAAAAAGGAAAAUAAUUAACACUCAAAUCUCACUUUUUUCUAUUAUCACUAGCUCCGAUUAAAGACAAAUACCAUUUUAAUCUACCUCUGCAAGUGCGAGCAUAAUGAAUAUUUCUAAUAGGCAUGGCAUAACAAUGAACACUAUAUUUACAAUUUGUUGGGAAAGUUGAGCAUUAUAUUAGUUCGUGAAUUAGGACUCUCGAGAUAUAUUUUGGUUUGUGAAGGGAGAGUCCAAUGCCUCAAAACACUUAAAAUUUUGUGGUUCAUCUUAAUUCAAUAGGGUUUGGUUUGGUUUAGAGUUCUUAUUGGCUAGUUGAAUGGAAAACCGAGGGAAACAAUAGGAAAUAAGUAGGCAUACUUACAACUGCAUCAGCAGCCCCAUAAACUGCCAUUGCACCACCGACCCCUGACACACCAAGUGAUGGUGUGACAACUUCUUUUGUGAACUUGGCCCUAUGUUUGAAACUCUAUAAUGCUCAGUAAGGAAAAACAUAGGCUACUGCAACAAAAGAGCAUGCAAUACUUCUACUUUAUUCCAGUAAUUACCAUACAAAUGCCGCUUGUAGUCCUGAAUAUGAAAUUAGAGGAAUGGUCAAAAUCAUUCUUAUGUCAGCCAGUGGAGCAACUACUGAUUUUGAUAGAGAAAAUAUAGAAGAACGUAGGCUGGACGAGGACAGUGAUGGUUCUUCUUCUUUACUGUCUUCCUUUCUUAAGAACCCCAUGAGUAAGAUACCUAACGUCACAACGCAAAGGAAGAUAAUGAACAAUACAGUUGUGCCAUUGGUACUUCCACCCUGCAGCAGUUAUGAGGCAAAGAAACAGGAUUCAAUCUAGAGAUGUUAUUAGUGUAGACUAUUGAAAGAAGAAAUGUGGUCAAAGCUGAAACAGAAUUGCAUGACUCGGAAAUUGCCUGCUUCAACAACGUUACGGUUGUUUCCAAUGUGACUGAACAUCCAAACUUUAAAAUGAAACUCUUUAAGAGAGUAAUUAAGUGGAGACUACAUACCGCUUCAUCUUUCAGCACAACGAGGGAGAUAAUAUUUCCAAUGACCUGCAAUAUUUAAAUCACAUAAGAAAGGUAUGAACCUUACUGUUAAGUUUAAGUAUUUGUUUUCCAGAUAACAUUUCUAGAUGAACCAAAGUUUGUAAACUUGAAAUCCAUGAAUUCACCUGGUGACUUGCAAAUACUGCCCAAAAUUCUCCAUUGAAGUUGCCGAUGACAGUUCCUUCAUGUAAGCCAUUCUUUCUUGCAUGAUUACGUGCAGUUGAAGUGAGAUAUGUACCCUGAGCAUUCAUUACAUGGCAAACACCAAGAUGUUUUCACUCUACAGUUAUAGUGAUUAUCCAUUACCAUAUACUCCAAAAAUAUUUACUACAUUUCACCUGCGCAACCCAAAUUAUAGAAGCAGCAAAACCAAGGUAGACAGAAGACGGAACCAUUGUAAACCUGAAAAGAAGUGAUCAGAAAAUCAUCUCCACUUUUGCAAUCACCUAAACAUUGAGUUGCAGUGUAUUGUAAAGUUCAAGACAGUAUAACACUACUGACCUAAUUAAAAAUGACAUAAACAUUCAAUCUGAAGAAUUUUUAAAAAUACUUGUUAAAUCACCCAUUGAUCAAAAGUUUAAAUUGAUGCAUGAAAGUCUAUAUUAAUUGGAGAGGAAAUAACUGUCAGAUAUCAUGUUAAAUUAUUGAUUGAUCCAAAAGCUUAAGUUUAAAUUUACAUAAUCUAUCAGUAACAGUACUCUUUCGAACACUAUUAAACACAGCCAGUGAUUGCUGAAGAACUGGCAUACAGUCUAACUUUUAUUAAUUCGUGUCUGCAAAACGCUUUGAGUAAUUCGCAUUGCCAGAAUCAGCUCGAUUACACUUUGUCUUGUCAAACUCCCUUCAUUGUAUUUUCAAAGCAGACCAUCAAAAUCAGUAAAAAAAAAUACCAAGUCGGCUUCAAAUUUGCAGCUAUGAACAACCAAUAACCAGUAGUCCCAAGAAUCAAAGCGUUCUUAGUCCCCAAUGCUCGAACCACCAAAGCAGCCACCAGAGAGAAAAACGUAAAAGAUAAAUACAAUAUCCCCAGCGAAGUAGUCCCCAAAUCCUCCUCCUGAAUCAAAAUUCCACAGCCCAAAGUCAAACCUAAAGACGAUAAUAUCAAUUAACCACAAAAAAAAAAAAAAAAAAAAAAAACCCAUCAAAUACAGAAUCCAAAUUUUCCUCUAAGAGGCACAAAUUAAGGUUCCUCCUCCAUUUCUUCAACAUCAUCCAGAAACACCUAGAGAAUAGUGAAAAGAACCAAAAACUUACAGUAUUAACAGUACUCUCCAAGUUCUGGGCAGCUCCAUAAGCAAGGAAAAUUAACCAAAAAGCAAAGCUCAAAACAUGAACAUCUCUCGUAUAAUUCACCGGAGCUGAAAUUGGGGCGUUAUUAACUAACAACCGCGCCUCUUCGUCAACAGAAUCCAUGGCGUGUCGGCUUUUCAAGCCGAUUUAGUCGUAGAAACGCUUAAAAAGGCGGAAAGAGAAAAACCCAAAUGGAGUGAAGUCAGAGGUGAAGAAUCGUCGGCUGAAAGUGAAGACAGUCAAAACUCAAAAGGGUUAAUAAUUCGAUUAACUUAAAGGUGGAUCGAGCUCGAAAUUUUGUAUUUGUUUGAUGCGAAAAAGGAAUAAGAGCUGACCAAUUACGAAUUUAUGUACGCCCCAUCUAAGGAAACAUUUUCCACAUUUUCGCAAUCGCUCGUCGCCCCAAGGUGUGGCGUUGGUGUCCUUAUCCAAGUUCUUAACUUAACCAACGGUAUCUGCUUCGAACUCUGUGCGAUUCGGAAUCUUCUCAAAUUAUAACACUUUUUAAGUUCUAUCACUAUACUCUCAGCUUCCAAAAAUAGCUUCUACAUUAAUUGCGUUAUUUUAUUAGUGAAAAAAUGUUUCUUUUUUUUUUCUAAACUUUGGGUGUACGUGAAUUUAAAUGUUAAACUUACAGGUAAAUAUAUUAAUUAAUACCUCUAUCACAUUUCACUUAUGUUAUAUAUUAGUUUAUACCUCCUAUUAAAAUAGGUUUCAUUUGAAAAAACAUUAUGCCAAAAAUAGGAUUAUUUCUAUUAAAUCUAUAAUUUUUCAUGAAUAAAUCAAUCUAAGUUUUUAGAUAAACUUUUUGUUAGAAUUCAUUCAUUUGUUUGAAAAUUAAUCAGUGUCCAAAUUUAUUGGUUGUAUGAGAAUUUAGUUCUGAAAUUAGAAGUUUGCAAAGUUUAAGUGUAGGGGUAUAUUUUAAUAUUUAUCCAAUCUUUUAUUAUAUGGUUCUUUCAUACUAGUCAAUAAAUUGAGGUCAGAAAAAGUAUCCAAACUACUAAAUGCUACAAAAUUUUCUCACCAUGGUACAAAAAUUUGAGUGUUCGAUCUGUUAAAGCUAAAAUAGUGGACAGAUGGUGUUUGCGUGAGUAUUCCAUUCAUAAUGUUUUGCUAAUUAUGAUCUGCAAUCUAUUACCUAAAUAUAUACGGUUUCUAUUUCCAACUUUUCAUGAUAUGAGAAUGGUAUUUCUUUAGAAAUCAAGUGUAUAUAUGAUCCUUAGUAGAUUCGAGCUAGAAUGUUUGAAACAAACCAACAAUCCACAAGUCGAGCUCUUAAGAGAUGUUGAGAACCAAAUAUGAAUUUGGUUAUAUUUACCAUUUGUUUGCAUUUUGUUAUAUCUACUAAUAUUACUUGAUGAUGGUUAUGUUUGCAGCAGUUCCGAUUAAAAAAAUGGUAAGAUUGAAAUAUGGCUCAUGAUGAACAAAAGCUAAAAGUCGCAUUCAAUUUUCCAAUUUGUAUGGAAGAGAUGCAUAUUACACAAAAGAUUGGUUGGCAAAGGAAAUGAACAGUUUAGAAAGAAAUCAAUUGGCGAAAGGGAAGAUUUCUUUCGCAGCAAUAACAUGAAUGUAGAAACACAUAUAUCCGUCUCUACACAUUAUAAUCUUGAGAAUGAUUUCUCUACCCAAACGGUUAAAGUCAGAAAAGCAACAUAUGAGAGGCAAAGAACUGAGAGUAUAAUCACCAGCAUUGUGUGCAUUGAAAUGUAUGGACUGAAAAAGAAGACGAUCGAAAUAGUCGCGCUCUGCCAGACCUUUAAUUGGGCAAACGCUCCUUCCUAUAAACCAAAAGAUAGAACCAAUUACUGACUGCCUUUUUGCAGAACCGAAGAUUACAAUAUGAGAAAAACAAUAGCAAUGGAUGUAAUGAGAUUAUAUGAAAUUGUUAAAUGAUGAGGUCGCCAUGUAUGGAUAGAGGAUAAGAAAGAUCACUGUCAAUUCACCCAAUUCCUAUCUUGAGAAAGCAAUGAAGGAUGAGUAGGUACCGUGUCGUGUUUGAAAAGUAUUCCAAGCAGAGCAUUCAGCUGUGUGUUAAAAACUCCAUCACCAAUUCCCAGAACGGCUGAUAUAAGAAGCAGGUAUACGGUGCCGAGUGUUUCACUGGUUUGAAGAGUUGUAACAGGGCAUUGCAAGGUUUAAUCAGUACACUCGCCCCUCGUGGUAUUCAUUACAAAAUAAUUCUAAAUGUAAAAGGUUUUCCAAUGUUGCUAACCUCUGCCCCAGUAGAAGCCAAAUAAAAACAACAGCUUGAAUGACAGCCCCACCAGAUACUAAGAAAGUGAUUGAUGGAAGACCGGAUGUAAGACGACCAGCAACCAGUGAACACUGGAAAGACCAAAAAAAGAAAAUAAUUAACACUUGGAACUCGCUUUUUUUCUAUUAUCAAUAGCUUUGACUAAAGAUAAAUAGUUGAAAGUAACUUCCCUCUACUAACUUGGAAGAACAGCCACAAAUAAUAUGUGGAGAGUUUAAAGAACUUUCAACAAAUAGACAAAUACCAUCUAAAUCUACCUCUGCAAGUGCGAGCAUAAUGAAUAUUUCUAAUAGGCAUGGCAUAACAAUGAGCACUCUAUAUUUACAAUUAGUUGGGAAAGUUGAGCAUUAUUUUAGUUCAUGAAUUAGGACUCUUGAGAUAUAUUUUGGUUUGUGAAGGGAGAGUCCAAUGCCUCAAAACACUUAAUUUGUGGUUCAUCUUAAUUCAAUAUGGUUUAGUUUGGUUUAGAGUUCUUAUUGGCUAGUUGAAUGGAAAAACGAGGGAAACAAUAGGAAAUAAUUAGGCAUACUUACAACUGCAUCAGCAGCCCCAUAAACUGCCAUUGCACCACCGACCCCUGACACACCAAGUGAUGGUGUGACAACUUGUUUUGUGAACUUGGCCCUGUGUUUAAAACUCUACAAUGCUCAGUAAGGAAAAACACAGGCUACUGCAACAAAGAGCAUGCAAU